AAUCCAUAGGUUAAUGAGGCGAACCGGGGGAACUGAAACAUCUAAGUACCCCGAGGAAAAGAAAUCAACCGAGAUUCCCCCAGUAGCGGCGAGCGAACGGGGAGGAGCCCAGAGCCUGAAUCAGCAUGUGUGUUAGUGGAAGCGUCUGGAAAGGCGCGCGAUACAGGGUGACAGCCCCGUACACAAAAGCGCAUGUGCUGUGAGCUCGAUGAGUAGGGCGGGACACGUGGUAUCCUGUCUGAAUAUGGGGGGACCAUCCUCCAAGGCUAAAUACUCCUGACUGACCGAUAGUGAACCAGUACCGUGAGGGAAAGGCGAAAAGAACCCCGGCGAGGGGAGUGAAAAAGAACCUGAAACCGUGUACGUACAAGCAGUGGGAGCACCCUUCGGGGUGUGACUGCGUACCUUUUGUAUAAUGGGUCAGCGACUUAUAUUCUGUAGCAAGGUUAACCGUAUAGGGGAGCCGGAGGGAAACCGAGUCUUAAUUGGGCGUUAAGUUGCAGGGUAUAGACCCGAAACCCGGUGAUCUAGCCAUGGGCAGGUUGAAGGUUGGGUAACACUAACUGGAGGACCGAACCGACUAAUGUUGAAAAAUUAGCGGAUGACCUGUGGCUGGGGGUGAAAGGCCAAUCAAACCGGGAGAUAGCUGGUUCUCCCCGAAAGCUAUUUAGGUAGCGCCUCGUGAAUUCAUCUCCGGGGGUAGAGCACUGUUUCGGCUAGGGGGCCAUCCCGGCUUACCAACCCGAUGCAAACUGCGAAUACCGGAGAAUGUUAUCACGGGAGACACACGGCGGGUGCUAACGUCCGUCGUGAAGAGGGAAACAACCCAGACCGCCAGCUAAGGUCCCAAAGUCAUGGUUAAGUGGGAAACGAUGUGGGAAGGCCCAGACAGCCAGGAUGUUGGCUUAGAAGCAGCCAUCAUUUAAAGAAAGCGUAAUAGCUCACUGGUCGAGUCGGCCUGCGCGGAAGAUGUAACGGGGCUAAACCAUGCACCGAAGCUGCGGCAGCGAACGUAUCACCCAAGACAACUUUACGGAGUUGACGAUUGACGGAGCGAAGCGACGUCAAAGCGUUCAUUAAAGUCGAGUUGGCUUAGGGAUACGUUCGUUGGGUAGGGGAGCGUUCUGUAAGCCUGUGAAGGUGUGUCGUGAGGCAUGCUGGAGGUAUCAGAAGUGCGAAUGCUGACAUAAGUAACGAUAAAGCGGGUGAAAAGCCCGCUCGCCGGAAGACCAAGGGUUCCUGUCCAACGUUAAUCGGGGCAGGGUGAGUCGACCCCUAAGGCGAGGCCGAAAGGCGUAGUCGAUGGGAAACGGGUUAAUAUUCCCGUACUUGGUGUUACUGCGAAGGGGGGACGGAGAAGGCUAUGUUGGCCGGGCGACGGUUGUCCCGGUUUAAGCGUGUAGGUGUGUGUUCCAGGUAAAUCCGGUUCACUUUAACACUGAGGCGUGACGACGAGGCACUACGGUGCUGAAGCAACAAAUGCCCUGCUUCCAGGAAAAGCCUCUAAGCAUCAGGUAACACGAAAUCGUACCCCAAACCGACACAGGUGGUCAGGUAGAGAAUACCAAGGCGCUUGAGAGAACUCGGGUGAAGGAACUAGGCAAAAUGGUGCCGUAACUUCGGGAGAAGGCACGCUGACACGUAGGUGAAGUGAUUUACUCAUGGAGCUGAAGUCAGUCGAAGAUACCAGCUGGCUGCAACUGUUUAUUAAAAACACAGCACUGUGCAAACACGAAAGUGGACGUAUACGGUGUGACGCCUGCCCGGUGCCGGAAGGUUAAUUGAUGGGGUCAGCG
RNAcentral lists this ribosomal RNA (1796 nucleotides) under Salmonella enterica. RNAcentral's name for it is "partial 23S ribosomal RNA". It matches the Rfam family "Bacterial large subunit ribosomal RNA", at positions 161 to 1895 of the family's 2925-position model. The record is from RNAcentral. RNAcentral also lists the same sequence under 1 other name. Lineage: Bacteria; Pseudomonadati; Pseudomonadota; Gammaproteobacteria; Enterobacterales; Enterobacteriaceae.